UCCGCUGCGAGGGGCGCAUGCCGCUGCCAACUUCUUUCUCUACACCACAAUGACAAAUCAGACGUUUUCAAGGCCGAUGAGAGGAUUGGCUUCAAUAGAUGCAGUAGCUUGAUGGUUUGGCAGAAGACGGUGCACCAUGCCGCAUGCCGUCGCUGAUGACACCGGGUAGGAAUUGGUGGUGCUGAAUUCCUUCUCUCACCAGACCGCGUGGCGGGAAGCAGGACAAUGGGGUCCCCUUUCUCACUUUGGCCUGACGGCCAGCUCCCCCUCCUCCUACCAAAUUCAGUGACCGCCGCCGCUGAUUCACGCGGGACAAUGCAUCUUCCUUUACUAUACAUCCUAAUGAUUUGAGAGGAGUCUGAAAGGCACAACAGAUUUUCUCCACCUAUUCUGAGUAUUUGACUAUCAGCUUCGCGUCCUAGCUCAUUAUCAGCAAUAAGCCAUUUGGGAGUGAGAGUUGUCGGAUGCCAUUGCCAUGCUAUCAAGUCUGACCCGAGAGGAAUUGCCGAAAUUUUCAGCAAAAAAAACGUCAGUAAAGGUGACCUCUUCUCCUUUUCCCGUUAAUCCUUUCUCUUCGUUUGACUUAGACAAAUAUUGGCAACAUAUAUUAGUGGCCAUCUGUUACACAUGCAGCAAUUGUGUGUCAUUCCAUAUACAAAAAAACAACAACAGUGGUAACCUUCCAAGCUUACAUUGAGGACUACUUAUGUACGCCAUAUUUAGAACAGUACAUUUACAGUGAUCAAACAAAUGAUAACUACAUGGUAAAGUAAGAACUAAAAAUAAAGUUGUACAUGUUCGGAUUAGCAGUAAAAGAAAGUGCUCUUGAUGCUUGUUUCCGUGUGCAGCCCCCAAAAUCUGAAGUGUGUUUUUUAUGAUUGUUUCCGUGUGAAGCUCCUAAAACUCUGUAUAAAAUUUGACAAAAAGAAAAAGGGGUGAUAUUCAAGCUUAUUUUCCGAGAUAGAGAACUGCCUACUUGUGCCAUACUCAGAACAGUACAUUUAGGGUACUCAGACCAACCUAUACUAUAUGAUAUGACAAAUUAAGAACUGAAAACAUAGCUGUAUAUGUUUGGAUUAUCAGUAAAAAAAUGUUCUUGAUGCUGCUCACUAAGGUUAGCAAGUAGUGCAGACAUGAGAUUCUAAACUUUAUAUUAAUGGUCAUCCUAUUGGUGACAAAUCACUCUCUUGCAAAACAACAAGAAUAAUGUUUCUUCUUAAAUGUUACUUUUGUAGUAGACUACAGAUAAAUAACAUUUGUCUGAUGCAUAAACUAAAUAAAUCAGGGAACAUUAAACACAUGUAAAAUGGAACUGAUGUAAUUUACUCUGCAUUGAUCCUGGGUUUUCUUCAUCCUCACUGAUACAAAUCUUGCUUAAUUCUUUUUGAACAAAUGAUGUAGCAAAUAUGCAUACGAAUGCAUCAUGCCAAAAGCACAUCAUGGGUGGGCAGAAGACAGUACCUAGUUUCCUAAAAAAUGAAGAUCCCCGUGCGUUAGUUUGCCCAAACCAAACCCACAUGUGCCUAUAAAGGGCGAAUUGAUAAGGAGGUAAACCAGAAACAUAUCAUGUCAAGCAACCAGGAAACAUAGACCUACGGACAUGAGCCCAAGAUGGGGGCACAAAUUAACUGUACUGGAAAUGUGUGAGAGUAUGUAGACAUGCAAAAAAAGAGUCAAAAAGGAAGUCAUGGAAGCACAUCAGGCAAGUUAUCACAUUCUGAGUUCUCUUAUGUGGAUAGGGAUGCACAGUCAUCAGUGUGUAGUGUUACAGACCAGCAGGCUUAAUUUGUAUGGAAAUAAUAUAAUGGAAUGAACCUAGAUUUACUCUUUAACAACCCUGCAAUAACUGUAAACUCAAUGCUUUGUAUUACUUGUGCUGACUUCAUCACCUUCUAAGUAGACAAAUUUGAACUUAAAAUCUGAAAGAAAAAGAUAAGAAUCCAUUUAAAUGUUGACCUGAAUCUCCCUAUAGUUACUAAAUCCAGAUAACAUAACCAUUGUAUAUUGAUCAUGGCCUAUCUUUUCAAUUUUUUUUAAGAAACUCACUGUUGGGGACAAAAUUAGCAUCGGUUUAUCACCUGAGAGAAUACCUUGUAAGGUAAAGUUCUUACUAACAUCAAGCGGUUCUUUGUAGCUAUCUGAUGACCACAGUGAUGGAUAGUGAACACCGCCGCGGUUCUUUGUAGCUAUCUGAUGGCAACAGUGAUGGAUAGUGAACACCGCCGAAAAAAUACAGUAUCCACAACUUUCAGUUAUAUGGGCUAUGUAAAUUAAGUUGCAGAAAAUGAACUCCACUAAGGUAUGUUGACUCUACCCUCAGUAGAUAAAAAUGUGCCUUAUUGCUACAGAUGACAUCAUAUAGUUCUAGAGCAUAUUAUGGCAUUAGCUGGAACAGAUUUACAAACUAUUGUGAAAUAUCGAAGCCGGUGUGACGUGUUAUAGCAGUCAUUUUGCAAUGUACAUGAGCAAAUUUUCUAUUUACAAUGUGAUUCAUUAAAUUCCUACAAACAUAAAAGCUUAGCAGCCUUUAUUCUGUAAAUAUGUUUAAUAUGCAUUUCAAAUAAUGGAUGCAUAUGCACCCUGGUGCAGAAACACCCUGUCCGUUGUUGUUCCUUCCUUACUUUUGCUACUUUGGGCAUAGCCGUACAAUGUUACUUAGUAUAUCUUGCAGUUUUCUUGAUUAUAUAAUUGUUUGUCUAAAAAACGUAUUAUUAUUUUGCCGCCUGAUUUUUAUCGCCAUCGUAUCAAAUGUAAUCGGUGCGAAUUCAACGAGACAAUAUGUUUUAAAUGGGCUGAAAAAUUUAUAGUGAAUAUAUGACUGAAUGUAACAACGCGUUGCAUUUUUUAUUUCCUUACCUUUAUUUUGUCAUCUCUUUCCCAAUUGACUAUUGGUUAAUUUAUCUUUACAUUUUUAACGGUGUUAAGGCUUGGUGAUGCAAGUCCUAGUUAGAUUUACAUAACCUUUCUAUUGUUGCUUUCAACAGAAUUAACAACCCUUAGCUGCUAUGGUAUAUUUUUCUCAUGUUUUUCUGGUUUUGUAUAAAUGUUUGUUUCUCUGAUUGCAAUUUAUUGUGGUUCGCUACGUUUUGUAAAAUCAAAGAAGAUUUAUUAUCAUUUUACCACUUACACACAAGUCUUAAUGCAUUGAAUAUUAGUUAAUUUAUCUUUUCAUUUGUAGCGGUGUUAGCUCUUGGUGAUGCAAAGUCCUAAUUAGAUUUACAUUUUCGCUGUGAUGUGACUUUUAAGGACCAUGCUGCGAGAAUCCAUUGCCUAUGCAGUAAUACAGAUGCUGAUGAUUUUAACGUUUUUCCUUGUUUUUGUUGCUCUCGGCAGAAUCAACAACUAUUAAUUGUUAUAAUAUAUUUUCCUCAUGUUUUCUUGGUUGUAUAUAAACGUUUGUUUUUCUGUUUGUGGUUCGAAAUAAUUGUAAAACCUAAAAACAUUAUGAUCA
This is a long non-coding RNA of Lolium rigidum, 3451 nucleotides long. RefSeq lists it as uncharacterized. The record is from RefSeq and is a predicted model, not a curated record. Lineage: Eukaryota; Viridiplantae; Streptophyta; Magnoliopsida; Poales; Poaceae. The transcript is spliced from 2 exons.